AAAUUGAAGAGUUUGAUCAUGGCUCAGAUUGAACGCUGGCGGCAGGCCUAACACAUGCAAGUCGAACGGUAACAGGAAGCAGCUUGCUGUUUCGCUGACGAGUGGCGGACGGGUGAGUAAUGUCUGGGAAACUGCCUGAUGGAGGGGGAUAACUAC
Molecule: ribosomal RNA, 156 nt
Filed under: Shigella flexneri
Lineage: Bacteria; Pseudomonadati; Pseudomonadota; Gammaproteobacteria; Enterobacterales; Enterobacteriaceae
Also listed under: 2 other names
Description: partial 16S ribosomal RNA
Rfam family: Bacterial small subunit ribosomal RNA
Source: RNAcentral